UACGAAGGGGGCUAGCGUUGCUCGGAAUUACUGGGCGUAAAGGGAGCGUAGGCGGACAUUUAAGUCAGGGGUGAAAUCCCGGGGCUCAACCUCGGAAUUGCCUUUGAUACUGGGUGUCUUGAGUAUGGGAGAGGUGUGUGGAACUCCGAGUGUAGAGGUGAAAUUCGUAGAUAUCGGGAGGAACACCAGCGGCGAAGGCGGCUUUCUGGCCUAUGACUGACCCUGAUUGACGAAAGCUAGGGGAGCAAACAGGAUUAGAUACCCCCGUAGUCCCUGAGCGGG
RNAcentral lists this ribosomal RNA (282 nucleotides) under uncultured prokaryote. RNAcentral describes it as "partial 16S ribosomal RNA". It matches the Rfam family "Bacterial small subunit ribosomal RNA", at positions 524 to 803 of the family's 1533-position model. The record is from RNAcentral.